AUGUCUGGUGCACGGCCUCGAGGUCCUUCUGCCUUGUGCUGGCUGACUCCAGCUGCCCCCAGCGUGGGAUCCCCUCUGCAAGGAGCUGCUGGUGUCCGAGUAUUUUCUUCCGAAUAUUGCCCAGAAAUGCGUGCUGCUGCUGCUGUGUUAUACUCCGCUUCAGAGGCUGGCGAGCCRGUUAAUCAGCUGUCCCUCCAUCCCUCCAGCCAGCUGCUUCUCGUAUGUACAGGUAUGCAAAAAGACGCGCUGGCGAAGGAGGAUGAGACGCGGCUGGUUUCUUCCCCGGAGAUCAUGUUUCUCAUGUUUCCUACUUGUUGCAUAACGGCUUAUUUUAGCACCGAUCAGCUGAGGCUUUGUUGUGCAGACAAUCCGGCCCUUUCGGGGGAUCCGUGCAGCRCUGGUUCUUCCAAAACGCUUUUUUGUUUUUAUUAUUAGAUUUAUUUCUCCUCUUAGCGAACGCCGACUGACAGCACCCUGCCGCAGCUCUUCAUAAGCGUUGCAUAAAUGUCUCGCUACGUAAACGGGGCACCGUGCAGUUAAUAUACGUGACCUUUCUGCAGGAGCAUCCAUCCAGUGUUAUCUCGGUGCAUAUUAGCUGUGUGUGUUGCAUAUACGUGUUCGUGUAGGUAUUUGGUAUAAAUGCGCAUAUAUGGUAGCCAGAAAUCUGUUAAGUGCGUGAUCAAUGCUGCAAGGGAAAGUACUCAAAAUUAAGCAAUGCCAGAAUCCCGCCUGCCCGUGCAGCUUAAUAAAUGGCCUUUUGUUGGAGCA
Molecule: long non-coding RNA, 768 nt
Filed under: Dromaius novaehollandiae (emu)
Lineage: Eukaryota; Metazoa; Chordata; Aves; Casuariiformes; Dromaiidae
Description: lncRNA (ENSDNVG00000009828.1)
Source: RNAcentral